UGACACUUUGCAACUUAUAUAACGAGUAAAACGUCCCCAACAACAGAGAGGCAUCGAGGUGAUUCAAUCGUCCUACAAAUGGAUCUUCUAUGGCUAGAUGUUAAUGUCAGAGUUCGUGGCAAGUCGAUAGGUCGGAGGAGUUGGCUGGGACAACAACGCGAGAUAUUCUGCACAGGUUCCCGGGUCUUUUACUUCCCCUCCCUUCUCCGAAUCGGAUUCAAACUGUGUACUGGCCGAACUCCAAGAUUUAGCGAACCACGACCACCAGAGAUCAAAUAACCCUGGGUGCAUCGACUGUUCGUUUCCCGUGCCUUCGCGUACACAAAUGGAAUCCCCAUUUACGAAGAUCAGGGUCGUGCUGAAGAAAGUUAUACAAGCAUCUUCGAUCAUGCAUGACAAGGAAUGAGGAAAUUCUAAUCAGGUAACAAAGUUUAAACUUGAACGUGCUAUAUGUGCCUGGAACUUCCGGAAUAAGGUUUCACGAGGCGAAACAUAUCCGAAGUGAAUACUCUUGGCGAUAACCAAUUCCAGUUUGACGAUGGGGCUAAGGUGAUUGGAAAUCACUCAUCAUUAAGUACACCGCUGUUCACCAAGGAGAUCUCGGAUCGAGUUCGGUCAAAUAGUUGUCAUAUCGGUGAUGGUCCCGACUCCUUAAGCGAGAGUGGCGGACAGAAGUGAAUCGUCUGGUAAUAAAAGGGUGUCAGAACUGCCGGACACUACGAGAACGGUCGGUCCAAAAUCCUGUGAUUUUACAUGUUGAAGGAUCUCCGAAUAUCUCGGUACCCCGAGCCGGGACGGGGGUGCUGGUUAAUUCGUCGACCCGGGUGCUCUUUACUCUUGUGGAGGCGAACGCGUACAGUAGUUAGGAAGAGAUGAGUGAGCAGGGGAGUAAGACCGUGCACUCGUCUGACUCGUCGCAGGGCAGGGGGUGAAACGCCUCGACAAUGCUCUAAUCAAAUGUCAUGAAUCAGCGACGGUAUUAUGCGCAUCUGCGGUAUGAAUUUGUAAAUAUGGCUCCAGGCGAAUCGAGUAUAUACUCGAGGAAGACGCCCUAGCCGCGACUUCUCGUUUUCCAGAUGUACAUAUAGAGUCAAGACGAGGAAUAUAGAGCUGUGCAUCCAGUCAUAUUUACAAAGUAGCAACGCUAAAGCAGAGAAGCUUUUUGAGUGCAAAAAGUGGCGUCUCUCACUUUUUCAGUUGCGAAUUUGCCGUUAUAACAAAAAAGCGAAUGAAAGAAACACGCAUAUAUAUCCAUGGCGAAUCCCGUACUCUGAAUGGUACUCGCGUAUAAAGUAUAUUUUAUUCGACCACACAUAAUCUCUCCAACAGAGAAAAUACGAGUUGCGAGAGUUGCCAGGCUACGCGUAUAUAUACCUACCACAGAGAUCGUCCGGGUGGUUCACAAACUUUUAACUCCGGCUAUAUGCAGCUUCUGCUGCGCGUCUCGCGCUUCUCUCUAUACAACCUUUUUUCCCUGAGCAUUAGUCCGCGCGUUUUAACGGUCCGGAGAGUUGUUCGUCUCUCUGAGCACUGCAUUCACAUAUAUGCAUACACCGCAUGUAUAUAUGAAGCACAAUACUGCAUAGAACAAAUGGAUAAAACCGCGGUAUUAUGUAAGACAGAUAUCGAUAUAGUCUCUCUUUGUUAUAAUCACCUUUUUCCAUCUCGAUUCUUUAAAUUUGUAUAUUGAAGAAUAAUCCAAAUCCUUUUACGCGUGUAUUAGAAUAAAUUUUACUUCAAAUUAUUGCACGGAUACUCAUUUCAUUUUGUAUCCGUGCUCAUCUAUUUUUGGCAGAAGUUCAGUCAGUAGAAAUCUGAUUGCACGUAUUCUUUCGGCUCAACAGAAUAUAUGAGGAAGAUGCAAGUUACGCGUUGUUCUCUUUUCAUCGGAGAAAAAUGUAUAAUCAACAUUUUUUCUCGAAAUGACAAGCAUCCGUGAGAAAAAGAUGAAUCUGCUCAUCAGUUGUCUUUCUCUCUCUCUCUCUCUUUCUCUGCAUGGACCUCACGCAAUUAGUAGAGCUCUCAAAGGUAAUUCCAGCAUCGGCGAAUGUAUCAUGGUAUUUGUUUGUUUGUUACAUUGAAGUUAUUGUCGUGGAAAAAGAUAAAAUAAUUUGGCGUAAUUACUAAAGUUCGCAGUGCGAUCGUUGGAAAUCAUUCGGUUUUAUUUCUGAAUAUAUACACGUAAAUGUGGAUACCGCAAUACAAACUGUGCAUGCGGAUGUGCA
This is a long non-coding RNA of Venturia canescens, 2225 nucleotides long. RefSeq lists it as uncharacterized. The record is from RefSeq and is a predicted model, not a curated record. The transcript has 3 exons. NCBI's taxonomy places the organism in Eukaryota, Metazoa, Arthropoda, Insecta, Hymenoptera, Ichneumonidae.